Molecule: ribosomal RNA, 253 nt
Filed under: uncultured bacterium
Lineage: Bacteria
Description: partial 16S ribosomal RNA
Rfam family: Bacterial small subunit ribosomal RNA
Source: RNAcentral
UACGGAGGGUGCAAGCGUUAUCCAGAUUCACUGGGUUUAAAGGGUGCGUAGGCGGGCAGGUAAGUCCGUGGUGAAAUCUCUGAGCUUAACUCAGAAACUGCCAUGGAUACUAUUUGUCUUGAAUGUUGUGGAGGUAAGCGGAAUAUGUCACGUAGCGGUGAAAUGCUUAGAUAUGACAUAGAACACCAAUUGCGAAGGCAGCUUACUACACAAAUAUUGACGCUGAGGCACGAAAGCGUGGGGAUCAAACAGG